This 466-nucleotide long non-coding RNA is filed under the name Homo sapiens (human). RNAcentral describes it as "non-protein coding lnc-MED4-4:1". The record is from RNAcentral. Lineage: Eukaryota; Metazoa; Chordata; Mammalia; Primates; Hominidae.
AUGUCAAGAGUAGAUAAUGUUGAUGACUAAUGGAAGAGUAGUUUAUACAGCGUGGAUACGCUGGGCAAAGAGAUGGUUCACAUUCCACUUGGAGCAGGAUGGUGCAAGAUUUCAUCACACUUCUCAGAACAACACACAGUUUAAAACUUAAUGACUUUUUUAUUUCUGGAAUUUCUCAUUUAAAAUUUUUGGACCACAGUUGACUGCAGGUUGUAAAGCUCUCUGAAAUAGUGACCUUAGCGAAGCAAGCACAUGUGGAUGUGAAAUUUCAGUUGCCAAUAUGAUCUGAAAACCCAGUGGAUGGCUGAAGGAGUUGAUUGACCACCAGUUGAGAGCCUGCAGUUCAUCAGUUGAGAGUGACAAUUCCAGAGUGACCAGCUGAGCAUGUAAUAUGAAGGAAACUGGAGAAAAGCCUCAACUACUUUAUGAUUAUUCCUAUGAUUUGUUCUUAAAGCAGAGAAGCAUC